GACGAACGCUGGCGGCGUGCUUAACACAUGCAAGUCGAACGGAAAGGCCUCUUUCGGGGGGUACUCGAGUGGCGAACGGGUGAGUAACACGUGAGUAACCUGCCCUUGACUUUGGGGUAACUUCAGGAAACUGGGGCUAAUACCGGAUAGGAGCUCCUGCUGCAUGGUGGGGGUUGGAAAGUUUCGGCGGUUGGGGAUGGACUCGCGGCUUAUCAGCUUGUUGGUGGGGUAGUGGCUUACCAAGGCUUUGACGGGUAGCCGGCCUGAGAGGGUGACCGGCCACAUUGGGACUGAGAUACGGCCCAGACUCCUACGGGAGGCAGCAGUGGGGAAUAUUGCACAAUGGGUGGAAGCCUGAUGCAGCAACGCCGUGUGCGGGAUGACGGCCUUCGGGUUGUAAACCGCUUUCGCUCAUGACGAAGCUUUGCGUGACGGUAGUGGGUAAAGAAGCACCGGCUAACUACGUG
This 467-nucleotide ribosomal RNA is filed under the name uncultured bacterium. RNAcentral describes it as "partial 16S ribosomal RNA". It matches the Rfam family "Bacterial small subunit ribosomal RNA", at positions 28 to 507 of the family's 1533-position model. The record is from RNAcentral.